RNAcentral lists this ribosomal RNA (2925 nucleotides) under Salmonella enterica subsp. enterica serovar Enteritidis. RNAcentral's name for it is "bacterial LSU rRNA". It matches the Rfam family "Bacterial large subunit ribosomal RNA". The record is from RNAcentral. RNAcentral also lists the same sequence under 2 other names. Lineage: Bacteria; Pseudomonadati; Pseudomonadota; Gammaproteobacteria; Enterobacterales; Enterobacteriaceae.
GGGUUGUGAGGUUAAGCGACUAAGCGUACACGGUGGAUGCCCUGGCAGUCAGAGGCGAUGAAGGGCGUGCUAAUCUGCGAUAAGCGCCGGUAAGGUGAUAUGAACCGUUAUAACCGGCGAUACCCGAAUGGGGAAACCCAGUGUGACUCGUCACACUAUCAUUAACUGAAUCCAUAGGUUAAUGAGGCGAACCGGGGGAACUGAAACAUCUAAGUACCCCGAGGAAAAGAAAUCAACCGAGAUUCCCCCAGUAGCGGCGAGCGAACGGGGAGGAGCCCAGAGCCUGAAUCAGCAUGUGUGUUAGUGGAAGCGUCUGGAAAGGCGCGCGAUACAGGGUGACAGCCCCGUACACAAAAGCGCAUGUGCUGUGAGCUCGAUGAGUAGGGCGGGACACGUGGUAUCCUGUCUGAAUAUGGGGGGACCAUCCUCCAAGGCUAAAUACUCCUGACUGACCGAUAGUGAACCAGUACCGUGAGGGAAAGGCGAAAAGAACCCCGGCGAGGGGAGUGAAAAAGAACCUGAAACCGUGUACGUACAAGCAGUGGGAGCACCCUUUGGGUGUGACUGCGUACCUUUUGUAUAAUGGGUCAGCGACUUAUAUUCUGUAGCAAGGUUAACCGAAUAGGGGAGCCGGAGGGAAACCGAGUCUUAACCGGGCGUUAAGUUGCAGGGUAUAGACCCGAAACCCGGUGAUCUAGCCAUGGGCAGGUUGAAGGUUGGGUAACACUAACUGGAGGACCGAACCGACUAAUGUUGAAAAAUUAGCGGAUGACCUGUGGCUGGGGGUGAAAGGCCAAUCAAACCGGGAGAUAGCUGGUUCUCCCCGAAAGCUAUUUAGGUAGCGCCUCGUGAAUUCAUCUCCGGGGGUAGAGCACUGUUUCGGCUAGGGGGCCAUCCCGGCUUACCAACCCGAUGCAAACUGCGAAUACCGGAGAAUGUUAUCACGGGAGACACACGGCGGGUGCUAACGUCCGUCGUGAAGAGGGAAACAACCCAGACCGCCAGCUAAGGUCCCAAAGUCAUGGUUAAGUGGGAAACGAUGUGGGAAGGCCCAGACAGCCAGGAUGUUGGCUUAGAAGCAGCCAUCAUUUAAAGAAAGCGUAAUAGCUCACUGGUCGAGUCGGCCUGCGCGGAAGAUGUAACGGGGCUAAACCAUGCACCGAAGCUGCGGCAGCGACACUGUGUGUUGUUGGGUAGGGGAGCGUUCUGUAAGCCUGCGAAGGUGGCCUGUGAGGGUUGCUGGAGGUAUCAGAAGUGCGAAUGCUGACAUAAGUAACGAUAAAGCGGGUGAAAAGCCCGCUCGCCGGAAGACCAAGGGUUCCUGUCCAACGUUAAUCGGGGCAGGGUGAGUCGACCCCUAAGGCGAGGCCGAAAGGCGUAGUCGAUGGGAAACGGGUUAAUAUUCCCGUACUUGGUGUUACUGCGAAGGGGGGACGGAGAAGGCUAUGUUGGCCGGGCGACGGUUGUCCCGGUUUAAGCGUGUAGGUGUGUGUUCCAGGUAAAUCCGGUUCACUUUAACACUGAGGCGUGACGACGAGGCACUACGGUGCUGAAGCAACAAAUGCCCUGCUUCCAGGAAAAGCCUCUAAGCAUCAGGUAACAUCAAAUCGUACCCCAAACCGACACAGGUGGUCAGGUAGAGAAUACCAAGGCGCUUGAGAGAACUCGGGUGAAGGAACUAGGCAAAAUGGUGCCGUAACUUCGGGAGAAGGCACGCUGACACGUAGGUGAAGUGAUUUACUCAUGGAGCUGAAGUCAGUCGAAGAUACCAGCUGGCUGCAACUGUUUAUUAAAAACACAGCACUGUGCAAACACGAAAGUGGACGUAUACGGUGUGACGCCUGCCCGGUGCCGGAAGGUUAAUUGAUGGGGUCAGCGCAAGCGAAGCUCCUGAUCGAAGCCCCGGUAAACGGCGGCCGUAACUAUAACGGUCCUAAGGUAGCGAAAUUCCUUGUCGGGUAAGUUCCGACCUGCACGAAUGGCGUAAUGAUGGCCAGGCUGUCUCCACCCGAGACUCAGUGAAAUUGAACUCGCUGUGAAGAUGCAGUGUACCCGCGGCAAGACGGAAAGACCCCGUGAACCUUUACUAUAGCUUGACACUGAACAUUGAGCCUUGAUGUGUAGGAUAGGUGGGAGGCUUUGAAGUGUGGACGCCAGUCUGCAUGGAGCCGACCUUGAAAUACCACCCUUUAAUGUUUGAUGUUCUAACGUGGACCCGUUACCCGGGUUGCGGACAGUGUCUGGUGGGUAGUUUGACUGGGGCGGUCUCCUCCUAAAGAGUAACGGAGGAGCACGAAGGUUGGCUAAUCCUGGUCGGACAUCAGGAGGUUAGUGCAAUGGCAUAAGCCAGCUUGACUGCGAGCGUGACGGCGCGAGCAGGUGCGAAAGCAGGUCAUAGUGAUCCGGUGGUUCUGAAUGGAAGGGCCAUCGCUCAACGGAUAAAAGGUACUCCGGGGAUAACAGGCUGAUACCGCCCAAGAGUUCAUAUCGACGGCGGUGUUUGGCACCUCGAUGUCGGCUCAUCACAUCCUGGGGCUGAAGUAGGUCCCAAGGGUAUGGCUGUUCGCCAUUUAAAGUGGUACGCGAGCUGGGUUUAGAACGUCGUGAGACAGUUCGGUCCCUAUCUGCCGUGGGCGCUGGAGAACUGAGGGGGGCUGCUCCUAGUACGAGAGGACCGGAGUGGACGCAUCACUGGUGUUCGGGUUGUCAUGCCAAUGGCACUGCCCGGUAGCUAAAUGCGGAAGAGAUAAGUGCUGAAAGCAUCUAAGCACGAAACUUGCCCCGAGAUGAGUUCUCCCUGAGACUUAAAGUCUCCUGAAGGAACGUUGAAGACGACGACGUUGAUAGGCCGGGUGUGUAAGCGCAGCGAUGCGUUGAGCUAACCGGUACUAAUGAACCGUGAGGCUUAACCUUACAACGCCGAAG